RNAcentral lists this long non-coding RNA (420 nucleotides) under Spirodela polyrhiza (greater duckweed). RNAcentral describes it as "long non-coding RNA (SPOL_LNC000195)". Lineage: Eukaryota; Viridiplantae; Streptophyta; Magnoliopsida; Alismatales; Araceae. The record is from RNAcentral.
GAGAUGAAAAUCUGCAAAAGACAUCUACAGACUUAUGGAUUAGACUCACAGAGAAACGAUCCUAGCAGGUCCGGGCUCUCCGUCUCCUGUGCAGGUCACUCCCUUCCAGGUAUAUGCUCUCGGAGAACAAGGAUCCGCCUCCCAGUUUUCCGUCACCUUGAGCGCGUCUUUGAUGUCUUCCAUUGCAGAAACUGGGGCACGAAGCGUACACAUCGUCUCAGAAGAUCUCAGAUUGAAGAGUAGGACAUCAGAAAUACAACAGGAAAAGGCUUCAGCACGUGCACGCACGUCAAUGGGGGGGUCUUUAGAGCUGGUGCAGUCAGCUGAUGAUGAUGCUUAACUUAAUUACGUAUAAAUUAUGUACGGAAGAUGAGCAAAGCAAUGGAGUAAAAGGGGAAUAAAACAGAGUGAACUGGGGAG